UAUGGAAUAAACAGUAACGGUUAGAACCCAUCCAUCCAGAGUCCUAUGGAAUAAACAGUAACGGUUAGAACCCAUCCAUCCAGAGUCCUAUGGAAUGAACAGUAACGGUUAGAACCCAUCCAUCCAGAGUCCUAUGGUAUAAACAGUUAUGAACAGUAACGGUUAGAACCCAUCCAUCCAGAGUCCUAUGGAAUAAACAGUAACGGUUAGAACCCAUCCAUCCAGAGUCCUAUGGAAUAAACAGUAACGGUUAGAACCCAUCCAUCCAGAGUCCUAUGGAAUAAACAGUGGGAACAGUAACGGUUAGAACCCAUCCAUCCAGAGUCCUAUGGAAUAAACAGUAACGGUUAGAACCCAUCCAUCCAGAGUCCUAUGGAAUAAACAGUAACGGUUAGAACCCAUCCAUCCAGAGUCCUAUGGUAUAAACAGUGGGAACAGUAACGGUUAGAACCCAUCCAUCCAGAGUCCUAUGGAAUAAACAGUAACGGUUAGAACCCAUCCAUCCAGAGUCCUAUGGUAUAAACAGUAACGGUUAGAACCCAUCCAUCCAGAGUCCUAUGGAAUAAACAGUAACGGUUAGAACCCAUCCAUCCAGAGUCCUAUGGAAUAAACAGUAACGGUUAGAACCCAUCCAUCCAGAGUCCUAUGGAAUAAACAGUAACGGUUAGAACCCAUCCAUCCAGAGUCCUAUGGAAUAAACAGUGGGAACAGUAACGGUUAGAACCCAUCCAUCCAGAGUCCUAUGGUAUAAACAGUGGGAACAGUAAGUGAUGGCAUAUCAACUAACUCACCUAACUGGUACAGUGUCUUCAUCUCUACAUAAUGGUCAGAUUGUAUGUAUAUGCAGAGCCGGGGCUUGAAUUUAUAGAUCUGUCUAUAGCAAGAUGGCAGGGUGUGUGUGUGUGUGUGUGUGUGUGUGUGUGUGUGUGUGUGUGUGUGUGUGUGUGAGUCUAAUCUGAAAUACCUCAGUUGUCCUAUCCGGGGGUUUUGUGGUUGUCGACAAUGGUUUGGCAUCGACUUUCACGUCUUUGAUUUGCAAUAAUAAUAAAUUGUCCUUGUGUUCUGUUGUUGGUUAUAGAUCAGGGGUUCCCAAACGUCCCCCCUAUGGGCACAAGCACUGUUCAUGACACAAACUGUUAACACCCCGCUUGUUGGUAGAGAGAAUUUAGCAGAUUUAAAGCGUAUUUCCUGCAAUUCUACACAUUUUGUCACAGGAAAAUGUUGUCGUUUUAAUGCUAAUUUUCUUGCAAUUAUUUACAAAUUUGAUCACGUCUAAUGUGUAUUCAUGUGAUAUUUGAGUGACUCAAAAACUACAACAAUAUUUAUGAGCUAAAAAAAAAAAGUAAGUAAAAAAGACAGCCACGGGCUGAUUGAUCUGGACAUUCCUGACUAGUUAUAAACAUCUCUCUAAUGUGAACAAUGACUAACAUGACAAGAGGAGCUGAUGAUGUCAUAGCCCAUUUAGAAAUGUCACCUUGUACAUUCUACCAUUAUCACUUUCAGGAGGAGUAAGUUUAAAGCUGGACUGAGUUCCUUUAAAAAAUCUCUAUAUAUACGUAUAUAUAUAUAUUUUUAAAUGGAGAGGGGAGGACCACAUGCUGCCACUGCGGGGGCGCCGGGGCGCCCCGCCCCACAGUUUGGGAACCGCUGGUAUAGACGACCACCUAUUGUUUCAAUCAAUCAGCUGUGUUUCAGUACAAUGUCUAUAUGGGGUACAUGUCAAUGAAGCCAAAUGUUAAUUUUGUUAGUGUCUUAGUUUGCCCUACAUUGCAAUAACAACGAUAGAGACCUUUGAAAAUUGGACCAUCCAAACCUUUAUUCAAAGAAAGCACUGUUGUGAUAUUUAAAAAGGCAAGAAACAAUGCUUAACCUACUGUACCAGUGAGUGGAUGAGGUCAUGUGCAGCACCAAUACCUACCACUGAGUGGAUGAGGUGAUAUGCAGCACCAAUACCUACCACUGAGUGGAUGAGGUGUUGUGCAGCACCAAUACCUACCACUGAGUGGAUGAGGUGUUGUGCAGCACCAAUACCUACCACUGAGUGGAUGAGGUCAUGUGCAGCACCAAAACCUACCACUGAGUGGAUGAGGUGUUGUGCAGCACCAAAACCUACCACUGAGUGGAUGAGGUCAUGUGCAGCACCAAAACCUACCACUGAGUGGAUGAGGUGUUGUGCAGCACCAAUACCUACCACUGAGUGGAUGAGGUGAUGUGCAGCACCAAUACCUACCACUGAGUGGAUGAGGUCAUGUGCAGCACCAAAACCUACCACUGAGUGGAUGAGGUGAUGUGCAGCACUAAUACCUACCAGUGAGUGGAUGAGGUGAUGUGCAGCACUAAUACCUACCAGUGAGUGGAUGAGGUGAUGUGCAGCACUAAUACCUGCCACUGAGUGGAUGAGGUGAUGUGCAGCACCAAUACCUACCUACCACUGAGUGGAUGAGGUGAUGUGCAGCACCAGUACCUACCUACCACUGAGUGGAUGAGGUGAUGUGCAGCACCAAUACCUACUACUGAGUGGAUGAGGUGUUGUGCAGCACCAAUACCUACCAGUGAGUGGAUGAGGUGUUGUGCAGCACCAAUACCUACCAGUGAGUGGAUGAGGUGAUGUGCAGCACUAAUACCUACCACUGACUGGAUGAGGUCAUGUGCAGCACCACUGAGUGGAUGAGGUGAUGUGCAGCACUAAUACCUACCACUGACUGGAUGAGGUCAUGUGCAGCACCACUGAGUGGAUGAAGUCAUGUGCAGCACCAAUACCUACCACUGACUGGAUGAGGUGAUGUGCAGAGUUUUGUCUUACCUUGUGAGAGGUAGUGUGUGGUUCAUAUAGCCCAUGCAGUGGGAUGUGUUCAUCAUAUCUUAAACAAUUAUAAUAACAAUCAUUUAUACCCGU
Molecule: long non-coding RNA, 2896 nt
Organism: Oncorhynchus tshawytscha (Chinook salmon)
Lineage: Eukaryota; Metazoa; Chordata; Actinopteri; Salmoniformes; Salmonidae
Source: Ensembl